UACGUAGGGUCCAAGCGUUGUCCGGAUUUAUUGGGCGUAAAGAGCUCGUAGGCGGUUCGGUAAGUCGGAUGUGAAAACUCAGGGCUCAACCCGGAGACGCCAUCCGAUACUGCUGUGACUGGAGUCUGGUAGGGGAUCACGGAAUACCUGGUGUAGCGGUGAAAUGCGCAGAUAUCAGGUGGAACACCGGUGGCGAAGGCGGGUCUCUGGGCCGAUACUGACGCUGAGGAGCGAAAGCGUGGGGAGCGAACAGG
This 254-nucleotide ribosomal RNA is filed under the name uncultured bacterium. RNAcentral's name for it is "partial 16S ribosomal RNA". It matches the Rfam family "Bacterial small subunit ribosomal RNA", at positions 524 to 776 of the family's 1533-position model. The record is from RNAcentral.